This 69-nucleotide transfer RNA is filed under the name Sus scrofa (pig). Its description in RNAcentral is "tRNA-Asp". The record is from RNAcentral. Lineage: Eukaryota; Metazoa; Chordata; Mammalia; Artiodactyla; Suidae.
GAGGUAUUAGUAAAAUAUUACAUAACUUUGUCGAAGUUAUAUUAUAGGUGAAAGGCCCUAUAUGCCUCU